GGGGUGGCAGGCUGGCGCCGGCGAGCGGAGGCCCUGACAGCCUCGGCCGGCGGCAGGAAGCGCAGGGCGAUGGCGCUGAGCCCCCCCGAGAGCCAGCCGGGCCCGGAGCCCCCGCACCCGCCGCCCGAGCAGGAGGGCGACGAGGACCCGGUGCCCAUCAACCACCAGCAGCUGCGCAGCCUGGAGCCCGAGCCGGGCGGGAUCCCGCUGCACUCGCCGUGGACCUUCUGGCUGGACAAGUCACUUCCAGGUACCACAGCAGCUGAAUGUGCAUCAAAUCUCAAGAAGAUCUAUACAGUACAGACAGUACAGAUUUUCUGGAGUGUCUAUAAUAAUAUUCCUGCUGUGACAAAUUUGCCUCUGAGAUGUAGUUACCAUUUAAUGCGGGGAGAAAGACGGCCACUUUGGGAAGAGGAAAGCAACGCCAAAGGAGGUGUAUGGAAAAUGAAGGUCCCUAAAGAAAGUACGUCUGCAGUUUGGAAAGAGUUAUUGCUGGCAACUAUUGGGGAACAGUUUACAGAUUGCUCUGCAGCAGAUGAUGAAGUAAUAGGGGUUAGUGUCAGUGUUCGUGACCGAGAAGAUGUUGUUCAAGUCUGGAAUGUGAAUGCAUCUUUGGCAAGUGAAGCAACAGUUUUAGAAAAGAUCUAUGAACUUCUGCCACACACCUCCUUUAAAGCAGUAUUUUAUAAGCGCAGCAUCUCCGGAAUCACAUGAGGAUGCCUUUGGCUGCAUUCCCAGGAUUGAGGAUGCCCAGGGAAAUCAUCUGAGAUGGCAGGAACUUGGAAAUCUCCCACUGCAGGAGACAGGGUCAUAGAUCCCACCAGGAAUAUACCACUACUCUGGAAUGCCAUAGAAGAAAAUCUCCCAGUCCAGUUAACCUGGAAGCCUCUUGACUCAUCUCUGCACCACCUGAUUCAGACCCAAUCAGCACCACCUGUCAGGAUCAGGGCUACUCCUUUAUAACCCAGUGAAGGAGGGUUCAAGAGAAGGAUCCGUACAGGACUGAAGUGCUCACUGCUCUGAGUUUAACAGGACGCUGCUUUCCACCAUUCUCUAAAUCUCCCAGCUGAGUACAGUGGGACUCUGCCAAACCCCCACUGCGAUUCUUCCUACCAGAGGACAAAGUGGCCAGAGCACUGUACGGAGAACAGUGUAAGAAGAGCUCUCAAAACUGAACGUGCAGCCUUUGCCAGAGGCCCUGCUGCUGCCUGGGGUUAUGCGCAGGGUAAGUAAAUUGUGUAGCUGACAGUGGUGGGAGCUACCAGCAGGCCCUCCCACACAGCUCUAACCUGCAGCCAGCUGUGAAAUGCUCCUCCCAGUUAGCGUGUCAGAUGGUGUUCAGCCUUACCCCCCGUGCAGACAAUGUGUUACUGGAGAGCUGUCCUUGCUUGCUCCUGCCCCACAGUAGUAUAACAUCCCUGUGGGAACAUGGUGGGGAAGUAUUCCAUGCAUUUGGAGCUGACUUAAAGGCACUUGAUUCGGUUAAUCAUCCUGCCUGCUUUGCUCCUGCUUUUCUUUCUUCCUCCCAUCUGUCCUCUUCCUCUCUCCCUCUGCUCCCUGGCACUUGCUUCACUGCCACCUGCUCCCCUUCCCAUCCUCCGCACUUGCUAAUGCUUCCCUGAUGCCUAGUCCUCCUCUUCCCCAGCAUAUGCUUCUCUGUCACUUAACUUCCUUACUCCCCCUCUGCACAUGCUGCCUGGCCCUUCUCUUUCUCCUCCAAACAUCCCUCUCAUUGGUAGCUCAGGGCUUCAAGGGCAAACCCUGUUUCUAUCCCCCCCCCCCCCCCCCCCCCCCCCCGCUGGCACAGCAGCGUCUAGUGAAGGCAUCUAGGCUGUCUUGUUCUGUUUUUUUGCAGUUGCUUUUCUGGGCAUGCAGGCUCAUCUUUGCAAUAAAUCAGGUCACCAGUAACUCCACCGAUGACCGGCAAGUACAUGGAGUUGUCUCCUCCUGAUCAUGGUGUGGGAACCACUGUCCUACGACUAGGUUUGGCGUUAAGUCGUCGUCAUUUUCAAUGAGAGUGAAAAUUAAUCUCUUGAAAUGACUUGAACGUGGAGGCCGAGGCUACAGACUUUGUACUGGUGUAACUAUUCCAGUUAGGGGUGUGAUUGUUUUACUGAAAUAGUGAUGCUCGUACAAUCCCUGAAGUGGACACAGUUAUACCAGUAUGAAUGUGUCAUAUACUGGGAUAGCUUUUACCCUGAAAUGUAUUAGGAUCGGUUGCUCCAGGGUAAGUACCUUUCUGCCGGUAGAGGUGUGUCCACAUGAGGGUGCUUAUGCCAAUUAAGGGUGUGAUUGUUUUACUGAAAUAGUGAUGCUAGUACAAUCCCUGUACAAUCAAGAUAGGAUUCAUUCCUCUGCAAGGAACCAGCAGCCUGAUGAAAACAAAGAGUGGCCCCUGUACCUGCUGCCUCCCAUAAAUGGGCUAGUAAAAGAGCACCUGGCUUGUCAUUUACAUGGUCUAGGUGUACCAGUUAUCGAUCACUGAGAGAGCUUUAAAAGGGUUAUUGCAAAUCCUCCCUGGAACUCCUUCCAGUCAAUCAGCCAGGCUGGUUUUGUGGAAUACCUACCUGACAGCAAAGAACAUCAUGUGAGAUCUUAAAUAACAGCCCCGUGGUUAGAGAGGUGAGAGACCCCUGUUCAAACUCCUUCUCAUCAGCCAGAGGAGGACUUACAGGGGGAGAAGAGUGUCUCCUGCUUCCUGGAUAAGUGCUAUAACCACUAGUCCCAAAUUUACGCAGGAGGGCUGCUUAGGGUUGCCAGGCAUCCAGUUUUCGACUGACCUGGCGGCUCUGGUCAGCACAGUUGACCGGGCUAGUAAAAGUCCAGUUGGCUAGAGCAGCCAGCUCCUGGAAGUGGCCAGCAUGUCUCUCCAGUUCCUAGGCACAAAGGUGGUCAGGGGGAUCCGCGUACUCAGGGCCGUCCCUAGCUAUUUUGGUGCUCUACGCAGUCAGAAGUGAAGUGACCCAGCCCCAGGUUCUGCUCCUCUCACUCCCAGGCUUGGGGGACAGCAGGGAACCUACCCCCAGCACUCGCCAGCGGCAUGGCUGGGAGCCAGAAGAGCGGAGCAGGCUGGGGCCAGGUUGCUCUACUUACCGGUGAGUGCAGGCCCGACCGCUUCUGGAGUCCUCAGGUCAAGUGGCAAGUUCAACCAUCGCUGCUGGGGCAUUGCACCACCACGGCCCUGGCAGGACCCUGGUGUCACCACGUGCAGCAUUGGGUUACCAGAGAAAUCGGUACCCUAACAAAUGAGUUCCUAUCAUAUUUGCUUUUAAAAAGCAUCGUUGACUGUUCCUUGGAAAAAUCUAUUUUUGACAAAUGUCAGUUACUUUUUCAGACUGCGUGGUCUUUGGCUGAAAACUCCUCUCUCUUGUGGUUGUGGAUAUCAUGAAUAAAUGUGAUAUGAAUAAA
This is an RNA transcript of Chelonia mydas (Green sea turtle), 3408 nucleotides long. It is a transcript of the gene named eukaryotic translation initiation factor 4E family member 3, with no coding region annotated. NCBI's taxonomy places the organism in Eukaryota, Metazoa, Chordata, Testudines, Cheloniidae. The transcript has 9 exons. The record is from RefSeq and is a predicted model, not a curated record.